UACGGAAGGCAGCAGUGGGGAAUAUUGCACAAUGGGCGAAAGCCUGAUGCAGCUAUGCCGCGUGUAUGAAGAAGGCCUUAGGGUUGUAAAGUACUUUUCAUCGGGGAGGAAAAAACAAAACUAAUAAUUUUAUUUCUUGACGUUACCCGAAAAAGAAGCACCGGCUAACUCCGUGCCAGCAGCCGCGGUAAUACGGAGGGUGCUAGCGUUAAUCAGAAUUACUGGGCGUAAAGAGCACGUAGGUGGUUUUUUUAAGUCAGAUGUGAAAUCCCUGGGCUUAACCUAGGAACUGCAUUUUGAAACUGAAAUACUAGAGUAUCGUAGAGGGAGGUAGAAUUCUAGGUGUAGCGGUGAAAUGCGUAGAUAUCUGGAGGAAUACCUGUGGCGAAAGCGGCCUCCUAAACGAAUACUGACACUGAGGUGCGAAAGCGUGGGGAGCAAACAGGGAUUAGAUACC
RNAcentral lists this ribosomal RNA (457 nucleotides) under uncultured bacterium. RNAcentral's name for it is "bacterial SSU rRNA". It matches the Rfam family "Bacterial small subunit ribosomal RNA", at positions 340 to 786 of the family's 1533-position model. The record is from RNAcentral.